Molecule: ribosomal RNA, 510 nt
Filed under: uncultured bacterium
Lineage: Bacteria
Description: bacterial SSU rRNA
Rfam family: Bacterial small subunit ribosomal RNA
Source: RNAcentral
AGAGUUUGAUCAUGGCUCAGAACGAACGUUGGCGGCGUGGAUUAGGCAUGCAAGUCGAGCGAAUCUCAGGGGGGUAACUCUCUGGGGGAAGCGGCGAAAGGGGCAGUAAGGCGUGGGUAACGUACCCCCUGGUCUGGGAUAGCCGCGGGAAACUGCGGGUAAUACCGGGCGAAGUGGUCUGAGGACAUCCUCGGGCCACCAAAGGUCCGCCGCCGGGGGAGCGGCUCACGUGGUAUUAGCUAGUUGGUGGGGUAAUGGCCCACCAAGGCUAAGAUGCCUAGCUGGUGUGAGAGCAUGACCAGCGCCACUGGCACUGAGACACUGGCUAGACACCUACGGGUGGCUGCAGUCGAGGAUUUUCCGCAAUGGGCGCAAGCCGGACGGAGCGACGCCGCGGGCGGGACGAAGGCCUUCGGGUUGUAAACCGCUGUCGAGGGGGAGGAAGCCGCAAGGUUGACCUAUCCCUGGAGGAAGCACGGGCUAAGUUCGUGCCAGCAGCCGCGGUAAUUC